CCGGCACGGGUGAGUAACACGUAUCCAACCUGCCGUCUACUCUUGGACAGCCCUCUGAAGGGAAGAUUAAUACAAGAUGGCAUCAUGAGUCCGCAUGUUCACAUGAUUAAAGGUAUUCCGGUAGACGAUGGGGAUGCGUUCCAUUAGAUAGUAGGCGGGGUAACGGCCCACCUAGUCUUCGAUGGAUAGGGGUUCUGAGAGGAAGGUCCCCCACAUUGGAACUGAGACACGGUCCAA
This 237-nucleotide ribosomal RNA is filed under the name uncultured bacterium. RNAcentral describes it as "partial 16S ribosomal RNA". It matches the Rfam family "Bacterial small subunit ribosomal RNA", at positions 100 to 334 of the family's 1533-position model. The record is from RNAcentral.